Molecule: transfer RNA, 74 nt
Filed under: Butyrivibrio sp.
Lineage: Bacteria; Bacillati; Bacillota; Clostridia; Lachnospirales; Lachnospiraceae
Also listed under: 2 other names
Description: tRNA-Glu
Rfam family: tRNA
About the family: Transfer RNA (tRNA) molecules are approximately 80 nucleotides in length.
Source: RNAcentral
GGUCCCAUAGUCUAAUGGUUUAGGACGCUGGCCUUUCACGUCAGAGAUACCGGGUUCAAGUCCCGUUGGGAUCA